RNAcentral lists this long non-coding RNA (521 nucleotides) under Phoenix dactylifera (date palm). RNAcentral describes it as "long non-coding RNA (PDAC_LNC022595)". Lineage: Eukaryota; Viridiplantae; Streptophyta; Magnoliopsida; Arecales; Arecaceae. The record is from RNAcentral.
GGUGGAAGGUCUUUGGUUAGCGACUUGAUCAUAGGUGCCGGUGAGCCUUGGUCAUGGCUACCAGCGACGGCGAAGGCAGGGAAAGAGAGAAGAAGAAGAAGAGAAGCAGGUUGGGUGAUAGUUGAGCUCAAGGAAAAGAACUAGGGAGAAAUCUGUUUGUUUCCGGCAAUCACGCGCAGCCACCAAGGUUCUCACACACGCUCGGGAUUUCAACGAUUACGGUGCGCAGCCAAGAUGGCCAGUCAGCACUUGCCAUCCUGCACGAAUGGGCAUUCCAUGCCGAAAAAUCUGCCUGAAAUUUCUUCCUCUCUCUCUUUCUUUUUUCCCCUCGUGUUGCUAGAUUUCGACGCCCAGCCAAAAUACAGCUGAGGGAAACAUUUGAUGGUCCACGAUACCAUAGCUUGGUCCCACCCAAUCAAAAGGGCCAAAAGUUUGGGAUCUCUCACGGUAUGUAUUGAAAAAAUUGAAAAAACAUCUGUACAACUAGUAUAGCUGUUUUAAUGCCUCAACACCCAUAUCGA